GAUUGUUAAUAAGGAGGUGCAAGACAGGAUGACUAGAGUGGUAUAUCCCAGAUCGGAAGAAGGUAAGAAUAAUAUCGAAAUAAUUAACGGCAGUGAAGAAUUCGUAUACAAAGCUAGUAGUUAUUAACUGCAGGGAUAUUCUAAAAGAUGUUCCUCGUCUGUCUUCCAUUCAACAUCCCACUCUUGGAACUAUCCAUUGUUAUUUUAGGAGGGAAGUUAUGGGGAUAUUUCGCCUCCCGUUCAAGGAACAUAUGUGGAAGGAAGAAGUUUAGGAAGCACUCCACAUUGUACAGAUGGCUUGGGAGCAGCCGUUGACACGAGGACAAACCCGUAGUGUUUUCAAGGUCGGCCCUUAUUUGGGAUCGUUUUCAGAUCCCGUAAUUUAUUUUUUUUAGAUGAAAAGUCUUUGGUAUCGAAGCUACUAUUAAAAUGCGUACAAAAAAAGGUAUGUUUGUAUUUCGCAUUGGACUUGAACCUGUAACAAGUUCAAUAACCGGUAGUGAUGGUCACUUACCCUAUAGCUCGAAAGUACUAGCAUGUUCCCUCAAAACUUGCUCUGUUAUCGCGGUUUUUUUAAUCUUCUGUCUAUAAAUUGUUAAAACGAUCUCUCCUUCGACCUUCAUGUUGUUUCUCUCUUUCUAGCGUCGGGUUUUCUAGCCACCUGUUUUCGUGACUUAUUUCCAUCACGAUCAUGCAGAAUUUGAGUCAUGAGUCGCGUGUAGAAAGGGCUAACGCUAAUCAGAGGUCAUAUCGUAGGUGGAGAGAACCAAAAUUUUACAUAUUUAACACAAUUAUCGAGUUUAAAGUGGCUCUGUUUUUUAAUCUCCGACGAAGUCAACCUUUCUCUAUCUUCAAGUAUUUCCGCAUUUUCCUCUGGGAAAAACUGGUUUUUUUUUUUUUUCUAUACGCAAAUGAUGAAGCGGAUGAAUUGUUACGACAGAAUAGGGUCACGUAGUUAUAUGCGCUAAUAACCAAUGAGGUUCUGUCGGUAGAUCAUCAGGGAUUUGAGAACGACACGUGGUCAUUUCCGAAUCAGACAACCUAGGUUUUAUUUCUUAGUACAAAGUACCAUUGCAUGUAAUACGAACCAGUAUAUCAUAUUGUAGCAUUGUUCCGGUUGAAGUCCAGAGUCUUAAAAUCAAGCGUCUUAAUUGAAAUUUUACAGAUUUUUUUCGAAGUCAGAACCUCAUUUUUUGAAAAAAUCAAUCUUUUAAGGUUCUUUGAUAUAGUUCACUG
RNAcentral lists this long non-coding RNA (1236 nucleotides) under Androctonus crassicauda. The record is from RNAcentral. Lineage: Eukaryota; Metazoa; Arthropoda; Arachnida; Scorpiones; Buthidae.